GUGGCGAUGUCUUUUGCGCAACAUCCUUCAACCAGACACGUUUGUGUGUGAAUAUUGACGGAGGAUACGUGUGUGUUUGCAACAAGGGAUUUACUGGACCCAAAUGUGAAAGCGAUAUUGAUGAAUGCAUUCAUAAUACAACGUGCGGUGGAAAUGCGGAUUGUUCCAACGCGUUCGGUCGAUUCACCUGUGCAUGCCGCGAGGGCUAUCCACAGGGAAACCCCUAUCUGGGCUUCUUCGAACCGGUUUUACUGGAGUUCAGUGGAGCGGGAGACAGUAAUGGGAUAUAGACAACGAGAUAAUAAAGGAAUACCAAAUCUCAAGAAGGAUUCCAUACUACGGGAGAUAUGUGCACUGGUUUAGGCUAAGUAUGGACGGAUUCAUAUCACUAGAUUUUCAACCAUUGUACAAUCAAUAUGGAGGAGAAAAUGCAAGCGAGUGGAGGACAGCUGUUCAGAACCACAUGGUAAUUGCACCAUUAUGGACAAACAUUGACAGCAGAAAUAUAACAGACGGAGGACUUUGGAUUCACCUAUUUACCGACCGACAAAAGGACAAUGUAGACAUUGAGAAAAUCCAAUAACUCGUUCGCCAAUACACCAACCAGACUGAGUUCAUUGUAAGUGUGGCCCUGGUCGCUACGUGGAAACACGUGACUGUCCACUCGCCCUAUGAACCCGGAUAUGAACUCGUCAAGCAUCAGAACCUGUCGAUGCAGUGCAUUCUGGCAUCAGACGGAAUGUACACGUUCAUCAUAUUCAACUACGACCGGGAACAGUUUAGUAUCAAACCGUUAUCAGAAGUACCCGUUGCCAGUGGUUUCACAAAUCUAAAUUACACGGGAGUCAUUUUGUCCAACAGAUAUAACUUCACGCGACUUAAUCAAGAAUCCAAUGUUA
Dreissena polymorpha is the source of this 899-nucleotide long non-coding RNA. RefSeq lists it as uncharacterized. The record is from RefSeq and is a predicted model, not a curated record. NCBI's taxonomy places the organism in Eukaryota, Metazoa, Mollusca, Bivalvia, Myida, Dreissenidae. The transcript is spliced from 5 exons.